AUGGUGCCCGAUGAUGAGCAACAAACAACUAUAAGUAGGGAAGCUGAUGACUAUGAGCUGUCGGAAGGUGAAUAUCCACACAAAGGGAGAAACCGUCUAGAGUAUAAGAGAUUGAAUAAGCUAUCAUAUGUCUCGUACAACCGGAAAAAGGAACCUAGGUUUCAGAAUCUGCGUGAGCAAGGCUCUAAAGCAAUGAAAUCUAACGCACUUGUCCUAGAAGAAUUUCAAUGGGAUAAUGAAUGGGUUGUCAUGGAUGGUGAAACACCACUACUUUGGCCUCAAGUUGAUGAAGCCAUGGGUGCGUUGACUUCUCUAGCAGGUCGCAACUAUCCUAGGAGAGCUCGUGGUGAUCCUGUCGAGCCUGUUGCACGACCCAUAGGCCCUUAUAUCACCUACACCUGGAACCACGCAAGAACAAGGCUGGUUGUGCAUGAUGAAGAGUUGAGGGCUGAAUUAGAAGCGGCAAAAUAUGACAAAGAUAUGGAGAGCAACGAUGAAGACAAUGGCGAUUCACCAAAUGAUGAAGAUACCGGUUUUCAGCUUGAAGACAUGGAUCUUGAGGCCAUUCAUGUUUUGGUUAUCGUUGAAGUGUUGAACUGA
Molecule: ribosomal RNA, 600 nt
Filed under: Triticum aestivum (bread wheat)
Lineage: Eukaryota; Viridiplantae; Streptophyta; Magnoliopsida; Poales; Poaceae
Description: partial small subunit ribosomal RNA
Source: RNAcentral